CAAAACCAAUAAUUGCUGGACACAUUGACAAAAAGCCAGUUAGGGGGCAGUCCCCUUUGGCAUGAAAGUAUACAUACAAAUAAAUGUUCAAUCAACUACACCCAAAGUUCAUUCUUGAUCUUCUUGUGCAGCUUGUGGUCUGGAGGCUUCUUCAUGGUGUCUUCUCCAACAGUUCAGUUUCUGGAUUCAGAGAGUCCACAUGGCUAAUCCUAGCCUAAGGGAAAAUUACCCCAUUUAUUACCAGCUGGUUUUUGAUCCUGAAGAAAUUGGGUCUGCUAUCAGCAGCCUGGGGUGAUGGGCGGUCUGCUCCGAGGCUACAGUUUGCUGGGGUUCAGCUGGGCCAGGUGAGUGAGAGAAAGACCAGGACCCAGAGCCAUCACAGAAACAGGCAGGCAGUGGCUGGGAGGGAGGGGUGGCAGAGCAGGAGUGAUUAAAACAGGUCCAGAUUACAGGCAACAAUAGUGGAGCCGAGCUGGGCUGGGGGGAGGGAAGGGCUCAAGAAAGUCCGAAGUGGAGUUUUCUAAAAAAGUAUCUUGGAGAAACGUGGCUUAAAAAUCAUUAUCUAGGCUAUCUUUCAUUUGUUUUUUAAAUUUGAGAAGUUCUCAUCCAAUAUAGUGGUCGCCAUAACUGUAACAGUUAAAAUUGCCAAACUGUGGCAGGUAAAAAAUAGUUUCUCUAGAAGUAUUAUAUUUUUAUGAGGUUUAUUAAAGAUUAAGAACUUAAGAAAAUACAAGUGAGAAAACAUGUGCCUAGGUGGGCCAAAAGGCCUAUUCAAUUUCAUGUACAUCAUGAGAGACGCGUCUGCUUGAGGUGGCAACAGGAAAGAAGCAUGCCUAAGUGGAUACAGUCAGUUUAAAUACCUCAUCUCGCUCUUGGUCCAGGUGAGGUUACAAGGCAUUUUGGGAAGUGAGCAAGGACUUCUGGGAAAUGGAGUCCCAGGUUCAAGUCUCUAUUUUUACAGGAUGAGGUUCAGAACUGAGCAGUGGGGCUUUUGUUGUUGGCCUCCUUUAUGUAGUCUUAGUGUAGACUAUGCUCCCCUCUCACUCCAGUAAAACAGAUCCUUUCUCCCUAAAUUCCAAACCUUCUUCUGCAGAAAACUUGCCUCAUCCCAUUCCUUCGCUAGUUUUGCUACUCUAGAAUUUGUUUUGAAGCUUUAUUUUAAGAUUGGUUAGAGAAGCUUUUCAGAGAGUUUUGUGUUUUUCUUCCUUUGCUAUCUUGGCCCCACCCUAUAGCUAAGUAUUUAUUACUGGAUUGAGGGUGAUUUUCAAUAUAUGUAUUGUAAUAUAUUUGUGGGCAGAGCUUUGUCUCAAGGAAAUUGUCUUGAAAUAUAAAACAAAAGCAAAAAAAAAAGUGAAGCUUACCAUGAUUGAUUAGCAAGGAAAGGGAAAUUAUAAUAGUUUAUUUACCUCUAUAAGUCUUUUUUAUAUUUUGCAAUUUUUGUGAGUGAAAUAAAGUCUAUUUUACUUUGCUACCUUAAGUCUCU
This 1483-nucleotide long non-coding RNA is filed under the name Monodelphis domestica (gray short-tailed opossum). RNAcentral describes it as "lncRNA (ENSMODG00000050345.1)". The record is from RNAcentral. Lineage: Eukaryota; Metazoa; Chordata; Mammalia; Didelphimorphia; Didelphidae.